RNAcentral lists this long non-coding RNA (1200 nucleotides) under Homo sapiens (human). RNAcentral describes it as "HSALNT0078410". The record is from RNAcentral. Lineage: Eukaryota; Metazoa; Chordata; Mammalia; Primates; Hominidae.
AACCCACCAAGGGAGCAUGAAGCCAAGCGGAAAUGCUGGUGUACAGUCACCUAUGAGAACCAAAAUAAGGCCAGCCAGAACACUGUCAAGGUCAUGGCAGAGCCCAGGCAUCCCUUGUUAACAUCCAUCUCUGAGUGAGCAUUAUGCAGAGAAGUUUUCCCCACUCCCAAUUCCUCUUCCAGAUUUAAAGAAAAAGCUAUUCGACUGCAGAAGGAACUUGAGCCUUUCCUCAUAGGGGAGAUGACCAUCUUUGACCUUACCUGUUCUAGCUAUGAGGCAAAAAUCUUUCUAAAUAGAUACACAUCAAUCACCACGCCAUAGCUGCUUGCUUAACUCAGGAUUACAUCAUUAAAAAUCGUUCCCUGUUCUCAGUAAGCCAUCACUGGAUAUGGUAGGGGAGCCAAGAAUUAUUGACCAACUGAAAAAUGACAGGGCCCCAUCAAAUCUAUUUGACUUGUAUUUCCCGGUUCCAAAGGACAGAAGGCCCUUUAUUCUAUGACGCAAUGGAAUGGGACAUUUGAAAGCCAGCAUCCAAUCACAACAUAAGGGCACUUGGAAGAUCCUAAAGUCUGAAGCUAGCACUGAGCUACUUUUCCAGUGGAUAUCAGAGUCUGUCACUCAGGCUGGAGCACAGUGGUGCCAUCUCAGAUCACUGCAACCUCCGUCUCCCAAGUUCAAAUGAUUCUCCAGCCUCAGCCUCCCAAGUAGCUGGGACUACAGGUGUGUGCAACCAUGCCCAGAUAAUUUUUGUAUUUUUAAUAGAGACGGGGUUUCACCAUGUUGGCCAGGCUGCUCUCAAACUCUGGAUCUCAGGUGAUCCACCCACCUCAGCCUCCCAAAGAGCUGGGAUUACAGGCAUGAGCCACUGUGCCCGGCCAGUUUUCUCCUUUCUUUAAUAAAAAUUAUAAAGGUAACUAAAGAAGAUACCCUUCAUGUAUGUCCAAAUCGAGUAAAUAAUUUUUCAAAAGUAGUAAUAUUCAAUAAAUUAUCACUCAAAAGCAUUUUUCCAAAUUCACUUCUUACUUCUUCACAAUAUUUUACUAUUGAAAACUUCAUGAAAACAGAUGGCCAUGUGAACACAUUGGUAAGCAUGUAAGAGAGGGGCCCUAAAGCAUAAGCUUCAUUAGUUUCAUAUAUUAUGUCGGUACAAAAGUAUUUGCAGUUUUUGCCCUUGCUUUCAGUCUAAUUCUGCAUCAACCU